AGCAGCCGCGGUAAUUCCAGCUCCAAUAGCGUAUAUUAAAGUUGUUGCAGUUACAAAGGCUCGUAGUUCAGAAUACUCGGGAGGUACAUACGUUGGUCGGGCUUUUUUGGUCUGUACUUAUGUAAUGGAUUCCUACCUUCUGAAUAACCGGCAUGUCAUUAAUUUGGUGCGCCGGGGAAGCAGGACUGUUACCUUGAAAAAAUUAGAGUGCUUAAAGCAGGCUAUCGCCUGAAUACAUUAGCAUGGAAUAAUGAAAUAGGACGGCAUGGUUCUAUUUUGUUGGUUUCUAGGAUCACCGUAAUGAUUAAUAGGGAUAGUUGGGGGCAUUAGUAUUCAAUUGUCAGAGGUGAAAUUCUUGGAUUUAUUGAAGACUAACUUCUGCGAAAGCAUAUUGCCAAGGAUGUUUUCAUUAAUCAAGAACGAAAGUUAGGGGAUCGAAGUAUCGAUCAGAUACUCGUGCGUGAGUCUUAACCAUAAACUAUGCCGACUAGGGAUCGGAUGAUGUUAAUUUUUUAAUGACUCA
RNAcentral lists this ribosomal RNA (523 nucleotides) under Acaulospora sp. Acau15. Its description in RNAcentral is "SSU rRNA". It matches the Rfam family "Eukaryotic small subunit ribosomal RNA", at positions 569 to 1078 of the family's 1831-position model. Lineage: Eukaryota; Fungi; Glomeromycota; Glomeromycetes; Diversisporales; Acaulosporaceae. The record is from RNAcentral.